Molecule: ribosomal RNA, 589 nt
Filed under: Lysobacter sp.
Lineage: Bacteria; Pseudomonadati; Pseudomonadota; Gammaproteobacteria; Lysobacterales; Lysobacteraceae
Description: bacterial SSU rRNA
Rfam family: Bacterial small subunit ribosomal RNA
Source: RNAcentral
UCGGAUUAGCUAGUUGGCGGGGUAAAGGCCCACCAAGGCGACGAUCCGUAGCUGGUCUGAGAGGAUGAUCAGCCACACUGGAACUGAGACACGGUCCAGACUCCUACGGGAGGCAGCAGUGGGGAAUAUUGGACAAUGGGCGCAAGCCUGAUCCAGCCAUGCCGCGUGUGUGAAGAAGGCCUUCGGGUUGUAAAGCACUUUUGUCCGGAAAGAAAAGCUUAGGGUUAAUAACCUUGAGUCAUGACGGUACCGGAAGAAUAAGCACCGGCUAACUUCGUGCCAGCAGCCGCGGUAAUACGAAGGGUGCAAGCGUUACUCGGAAUUACUGGGCGUAAAGCGUGCGUAGGUGGUUUGUUAAGUCUGAUGUGAAAGCCCUGGGCUCAACCUGGGAAUGGCAUUGGAAACUGGCUUACUAGAGUGCGGUAGAGGGUAGUGGAAUUCCCGGUGUAGCAGUGAAAUGCGUAGAUAUCGGGAGGAACAUCUGUGGCGAAGGCGACUACCUGGACCAGCACUGACACUGAGGCACGAAAGCGUGGGGAGCAAACAGGAUUAGAUACCCUGAUAGUCCACGCCCUAAACGAUGCGAACU